UAUUUCAUCACAUUGGCAUCACCACCCCCAUUUUCACAUUCAAGCUUUUUAGUGCUCUACUAAAUUUUCUUUGGAAUCUAAGGUAUUUCGUAAGAUAAUUACUUCUCAAGGAUCACUCCUAUUGCAAUCAAGACUAGGACUCCACAUUCGAGACCAAAGUAACUGAAAGUCUAGAAUGCCGGUGGCGAGUAGAACUUUAGACGCUUGUGUGUGUGAACUCGCUGAGGGCCAUAUAACUGUGGGCGGUCUAGGCGCUCCAUUUAUUUAUUUACGUUAUCAAAUUUAUGUUGCAAUUAUUUUAGUUAUUAUUUAUUAUGUCUUUUGUACGAAAACUGGCCAGUUGUGAAUAUUUUCAAGUAUUAAAUAAAAAUGCGACAUUAUGAUUUUCCGCGA
Molecule: long non-coding RNA, 393 nt
Organism: Cannabis sativa
Lineage: Eukaryota; Viridiplantae; Streptophyta; Magnoliopsida; Rosales; Cannabaceae
Exons: 3
Source: RefSeq, a predicted model, not a curated record